Saimiri boliviensis boliviensis (Bolivian squirrel monkey) is the source of this 833-nucleotide non-coding RNA. NCBI's taxonomy places the organism in Eukaryota, Metazoa, Chordata, Mammalia, Primates, Cebidae. The record is from RefSeq and is a predicted model, not a curated record.
AUGCUUUGCGCUUCCAGCGCUGAUCGCGAAACGUGCGGCCCUAGGCCUAUGCGGAAGUGGAUUGAUCUCCCUCAGCCCGUGGAGAAAGAGCGGAGGCGGGAUGCGAUUUUUCCGUGGGGGUGUCAGCUCCGGCCGGUGCCGGAAAAAGAAGCCAAGACCAGGAUCGCUGUCUGCUCCUUUCCCACCCACAUCCCGGACAUCCAGCCCAAAAGAGACCUCACCCACUUUGUGAAGUGGCCCUGCUAUAUCAGGUUGCAGUGGCAGAGAACCAUCCUCUAUAAGUGGUGUAAAGUGUCCCCUGCAAUGAACCAGUUCACCCAGACCCAGGACCGCCGAACAGCUACUCAGCUACUUAAGCUAACCCAUAAGUACAGACCAGAGACAAAGCAAGAGAAGAAGCAGAGGCUGUUGGCCCGGGCCGAGAAGAAAGCUGCCGGCAAAGGGCACGUCCCCACUAAGAGACCACCUGUCCUUCGAGCAGGAGUUAACACCGUCACCACCUCGGUGGAGAACAAGAAAGCUCAGCUGGUAGUGAUUGCACACGACAUGGAUCCCAUCGAGCUGGCUGUCUUCUUGCCUGCCUUGUGUCAUAAAACGGGGGUCCCUUACUUCAUUAUCAAGGGGAAGGCAAGACUAGGACGUCUAGUCCGCAGGAAGACCUGCACCCUGUCGUCUUCACACAGGUUAACUCGGAAGACAAAGGCUCUUGGGCUAAGCCGGUGAAAGCUAUCAGGACGAAUUACGACAGGUAUGAUGAGAUCCGCCGUCACUGGGGAGGCAAUGUCCUGGGUCCCAAGUCUGUGGCUCGCAUAGCUGAAAAAGGCAAAAGCUAA